AGCCGCGGCUCCCCUUAGUUUUGCCACUUUUCCCAUAUCGGUGGGAAAAGUGGCAUGGGAGCCUUGAGGCUUCUAUAAAAGGAGCCUCAAGGCUCCAAGAUAAUCAUCGCACUUGCCCACGGGCAAGCAGUGAGUCGCCAAAUUGGCUCUAGCAUUAGCGGAGUCGAAAUGGCAAGGCUCCACAGUAAUUUUUUAAUUUUUUAUGCAUAUUGUGCACCCUCUCUUGUGACGACGAAGACAAGGAAGGCUGUAGACUUCUCCAUUCUCCAUUACUUGAGGAAUGGCGUGUCUGGCAAUUUAAUGCUUGUGCAUUUCAAAAAUCUGUCUCUAUCCUUGUGGUACACCCGUUUAACCAAUCUGCCCAUUCUAGUGGGAUAAAUCCACAGGGAGGGGAGUUAUUGAUAUUGCACUUACCAAAAGCACCACAGAGUGCAUAAUUACCACAGCCAUCUGCCUGUCCUGUCAAGAAAACACACCAGCAUUGACUUUGUUCAAUCCAUGUUAAAUGCGGAUUCACUCAAGAAAACACACCAGUCUACUGAGGUGCAAAAUGUUACAGAGAUAGUCAAGUGGAGCAAAAGAAGUAGAGCCUGAGCUCUUCCUCGAUUUCAUUUUCUGUUUUCUCAGGUUUUAGUGUUUUACGCUUAUUGAUUGAUGCUUUCAAAUCUUGUACACGAUGUAUAAAGCAGAGUAGAAACUGUGAGUUUUCUGGAUGGUCAGCAGUAAAAAAAUUGACCAAAUACCGAAUUUAAACUUGAAAACAUAAAAUAGAAAAUGAGAAAUUAAAGUAAA
This is a long non-coding RNA of Ipomoea triloba (trilobed morning glory), 792 nucleotides long. RefSeq lists it as uncharacterized. The transcript is spliced from 2 exons. The record is from RefSeq and is a predicted model, not a curated record. Lineage: Eukaryota; Viridiplantae; Streptophyta; Magnoliopsida; Solanales; Convolvulaceae.